GAUCAUGGCUCAGAUUGAACGCUGGCGGCAUGCUUUACACAUGCAAGUCGAACGGCAGCGCGGGGCAACCUGGCGGCGAGUGGCGAACGGGUGAGUAAUAUAUCGGAACGUACCCAAGAGUGGGGGAUAACGUAGCGAAAGUUACGCUAAUACCGCAUACGAUCUAAGGAUGAAAGCGGGGGAUCGCAAGACCUCGUGCUCCUGGAGCGGCCGAUAUCUGAUUAGCUAGUUGGUG
This 235-nucleotide ribosomal RNA is filed under the name uncultured bacterium. RNAcentral's name for it is "partial 16S ribosomal RNA". It matches the Rfam family "Bacterial small subunit ribosomal RNA", at positions 15 to 254 of the family's 1533-position model. The record is from RNAcentral.